AUUUUAUUGAGAGUUUGAUCCUGGCUCAGGAUGAACGCUGGCGGCGUGCUUAACACAUGCAAGUCGAACGAGAAUCAACGGAUUGAGGAUUCGUCCAAAUG
Molecule: ribosomal RNA, 101 nt
Filed under: Pseudoflavonifractor sp. An85
Lineage: Bacteria; Bacillati; Bacillota; Clostridia; Eubacteriales; Oscillospiraceae
Description: partial 16S ribosomal RNA
Rfam family: Bacterial small subunit ribosomal RNA
Source: RNAcentral